GUAGGGAGCAAGCGUUGUUCGGAUUUACUGGGCGUAAAGGGCGCGUAGGCGGCGCGGUAAGUCACUUGUGAAAUCUCUGAGCUUAACUCAGAACGGCCAAGUGAUACUGCAGUGCUAGAGUGCAGAAGGGGCAAUCGGAAUUCUUGGUGUAGCGGUGAAAUGCGUAGAUAUCAAGAGGAACACCUGAGGUGAAGACGGGUUGCUGGGCUGACACUGACGCUGAGGCGCGAAAGCUAGGGGAGCAAACGGGAUUAGAUACCCCGGUAGUCCUAGCCCUAAACGAUGAAUACUUGGUGUCUGGAGUUUCAAGACUUCGGGUGCCGUCGCUAACGUUUUAAGUAUUCCGCCUGGGGAGUACGCUCGCAAGAAAG
RNAcentral lists this ribosomal RNA (371 nucleotides) under uncultured bacterium. RNAcentral's name for it is "bacterial SSU rRNA". It matches the Rfam family "Bacterial small subunit ribosomal RNA", at positions 527 to 896 of the family's 1533-position model. The record is from RNAcentral.